UUCAUCUGCAAACACACAACUCUUACAUUUCAGUCCAAACUAAAGCAAACACAAAAGUUGUCUGAAAUUAAACUUAAUAAACUUAGCGCAACUUCUGUUAUUUAUUAGAUAAAAAGUAAAUAAAACAGAAAAAUGUGGGCCCCUGGAGCCACUUUUGGUGCCCUAACUUUGAACGAAAAAUUAUUUUACUAAUGCAAACUGCAAUCCAAAGUCCUGUACAUCAGCAGGAAUGAACUGAUCCAUUGUAAGUUUAAUACAUCCCAAUAACUCCAAAGAAAUUUACUAUAACUUUACAAUAUUUUAAUAUUCUUUAUUGUUUACUUAUACUAUAAGUUUGAAAAAAUCACAAUACAAGCAUUUCAUAUCAGUCGAUAAUUAUCAAUUAGUUUUGUUUCAAAUAUAUGAGAUAAGUCUUACUAGGCAAUAAAAAAUCUGGCAAUGCAGAUGUAACCCACGUUAAAAUCUGACAUAAAUAGUUGAUUAAAAGUCUGGACAGAAAAUAACGUUGCUGCUCCUUUAAGGAACCGGCGUCACUGACGCGACGCCUGGGUGACGUUGCAGAGCAAAAACCUGAGGGAGAGAGCAGUGAUUAAUUAACGGAAAAAGUUAUUAUAGUUGAGAAAAUAUAAAUUACCUGGUCGGAAACUGACGGGGAUUUUAUGAGAACUAACUUACUUUGGUUUUGGUGAGUUUUGUGUUUAUUUUCUUACAUUUUCACUGUGUUGUACUUUUCCUUUUGGCGGAGAGCUAACGCUAAAAACGUAGCUGUUGCAAAGAAAUGCUCUGUCAUAAACUGUUAUCCGGUUAAUAUAUUGGGUUUAUGAAGAAUUUAUUUGUAUAAUUUGAGGAUUUAAAAAGAGUUUUGUCGUGUUUGUGGCCUGUUACACAAGUCAGGUUUUUUCGUUCGGUUGGAAGCUCGGUCGGAGCGAGGAUUGGUCUUCCAUGUGCGACGUGGACAUUCACAGACGGGAUUCAAGAUGGCGAGCCAGACCUAGACCUUCAAUUCAUCUUCUCCACCGUAUCAAGGAGGGACUCUCCUGCGUGUGGUAAUUCGCUGCCGGAGCGUAGAGGAAAAAAACACUUCAGUCGGGAGGAACCUCUGCAGAAAAUCUGUUUGAAGGUGGAGCCGAAGCCUUUGUGGUAGGAUGAGAUCUUCGAGGCGUCCACCAUGAAGGCCACACAGUGGAUUCUGUCCCUGAG
Poecilia reticulata (guppy) is the source of this 1200-nucleotide non-coding RNA. The record is from RefSeq and is a predicted model, not a curated record. Lineage: Eukaryota; Metazoa; Chordata; Actinopteri; Cyprinodontiformes; Poeciliidae.